RNAcentral lists this ribosomal RNA (1445 nucleotides) under uncultured organism. RNAcentral describes it as "SSU rRNA". It matches the Rfam family "Bacterial small subunit ribosomal RNA". The record is from RNAcentral.
CGCUAGCUACAGGCUUAACACAUGCAAGUCGAGGGGCAUCAGGAAGAAAGCUUGCUUUCUUUGCUGGCGACCGGCGCACGGGUGAGUAACACGUAUCCAACCUGCCCUUUACUCGGGGAUAGCCUUUCGAAAGAAAGAUUAAUACCCGAUAGCAUAAUGAUUCCGCAUGGUUUCAUUAUUAAAGGAUUCCGGUAAAGGAUGGGGAUGCGUUCCAUUAGGUUGUUGGUGAGGUAACGGCCCACCAAGCCUUCGAUGGAUAGGGGUUCUGAGAGGAAGGUCCCCCACAUUGGAACUGAGACACGGUCCAAACUCCUACGGGAGGCAGCAGUGAGGAAUAUUGGUCAAUGGGCGCUAGCCUGAACCAGCCAAGUAGCGUGAAGGAUGAAGGCUCUAUGGGUCGUAAACUUCUUUUAUAUAAGAAUAAAGUGCAGUAUGUAUACUGUUUUGUAUGUAUUAUAUGAAUAAGGAUCGGCUAACUCCGUGCCAGCAGCCGCGGUAAUACGGAGGAUCCGAGCGUUAUCCGGAUUUAUUGGGUUUAAAGGGAGCGUAGGUGGACUGGUAAGUCAGUUGUGAAAGUUUGCGGCUCAACCGUAAAAUUGCAGUUGAUACUGUCAGUCUUGAGUACAGUAGAGGUGGGCGGAAUUCGUGGUGUAGCGGUGAAAUGCUUAGAUAUCACGAAGAACUCCGAUUGCGAAGGCAGCUCACUGGACUGCAACUGACACCGAUGCUCGAAAGUGUGGGUAUCAAACAGGAUUAGAUACCCUGGUAGUCCACACAGUAAACGAUGAAUACUCGCUGUUUGCGAUAUACAGUAAGCGGCCAAGCGAAAGCAUUAAGUAUUCCACCUGGGGAGUACGCCGGCAACGGUGAAACUCAAAGGAAUUGACGGGGGCCCGCACAAGCGGAGGAACAUGUGGUUUAAUUCGAUGAUACGCGAGGAACCUUACCCGGGCUUAAAUUGCAGUGGAAUGAUGUGGAAACAUGUCAGUGAGCAAUCACCGCUGUGAAGGUGCUGCAUGGUUGUCGUCAGCUCGUGCCGUGAGGUGUCGGCUUAAGUGCCAUAACGAGCGCAACCCUUAUCUUUAGUUACUAACAGGUUAUGCUGAGGACUCUAGAGAGACUGCCGUCGUAAGAUGUGAGGAAGGUGGGGAUGACGUCAAAUCAGCACGGCCCUUACGUCCGGGGCUACACACGUGUUACAAUGGGGGGUACAGAAGGCAGCUAGCGGGUGACCGUAUGCUAAUCCCAAAAUCCUCUCUCAGUUCGGAUCGAAGUCUGCAACCCGACUUCGUGAAGCUGGAUUCGCUAGUAAUCGCGCAUCAGCCACGGCGCGGUGAAUACGUUCCCGGGCCUUGUACACACCGCCCGUCAAGCCAUGGGAGCCGGGGGUACCUGAAGUACGUAACCGCAAGGAUCGUCCUAGGGUAAAACUGGUGACUGGGGCU